Molecule: long non-coding RNA, 257 nt
Organism: Ostrea edulis (European flat oyster)
Lineage: Eukaryota; Metazoa; Mollusca; Bivalvia; Ostreida; Ostreidae
Exons: 2
Source: RefSeq, a predicted model, not a curated record
GCAGUCAUUGGGAUUAUUUUGUUCCAGCAAAAUCAUAUGGCCUCAGCUUUCCAAAGACUUGUAUCCCUUGUUUGCUUGAGGGGUCAGAUGGAAGAUAGUGCACUUAGUAGGCUAAACCAUUUCGGACUAUGUCUUGCACCAACAAGCAAGAUCAAUCUCCAGGAUGAAGCUGGGAAAUCCUCUAAAAUGCAGAUCAUUAAGUUUCUGAAACAUAACCCAAUGAUCAAAAUUACAGGAGACAACCUUGAUGUUAUGGU